This 497-nucleotide ribosomal RNA is filed under the name uncultured bacterium. RNAcentral describes it as "partial 16S ribosomal RNA". It matches the Rfam family "Bacterial small subunit ribosomal RNA", at positions 28 to 507 of the family's 1533-position model. The record is from RNAcentral.
GAUGAACGCUGGCGGCGUGCCUAAUACAUGCAAGUCGAGCGAACGGACGAGAAGCUUGCUUCUCUGAUGUUAGCGGCGGACGGGUGAGUAACACGUGGAUAACCUACCUAUAAGACUGGGAUAACUUCGGGAAACCGGAGCUAAUACCGGAUAAUAUUUUGAACCGCAUGGUUCAAAAGUGAAAGACGGUCUUGCUGUCACUUAUAGAUGGAUCCGCGCUGCAUUAGCUAGUUGGUAAGGUAACGGCUUACCAAGGCAACGAUGCAUAGCCGACCUGAUAGGUGGAUCAGCAAAAAUGGAGCGGAGACAAGUUCCUGAAUCAGACGGGAGGCAGCGGUAGGGAAUAUUACGCAAUGUGGCGAAGCCUGACGUAGCCCCCCCGCGUGAGUGAUGACGAUCUUCGGAUCGUAAAACUCUGUUAUUAGGUAAGAACAUAUGUGUAAGUAACUGUUGACGUCUUGACGGUACCUAACCAGAAAGCCACGGCUAACUACGUG